GACGAACGCUGGCGGCGUGCUUAACACAUGCAAGUCGAACGGAAAGGGCCUGCCUUGGUGGGGCGCUUGAGUGGCGAACGGGUGAGUAACACGUGAGUAACCUGCCCUUGACUUUGGGAUAACUUCAGGAAACUGGAGCUAAUACCGGAUAGGAGCUCCUACUGCAUGGUGGGGGCUGGAAAGUUUCGGCGGUUGGGGUUGGACUUGCGGCUGAUCAGCUUGAUGGUGGGGUAGUGGCUUACCAAUGCUUUGACGGGUAGCCGUCCUGGGAGGGUGACAGGCCACAUUGGGACUGAGAUAGGACCCGGACGGCAACGGGAGGCAGCGGUGGAGAAUAUUGCAAGAUAGGCGGCAGGCGGGUACAAGAACGCCGGGUGGGGGAUGACGGUUGUAGGGUUGUAAACCGCUUUCGCCUGUGACGAAGCGAGAGUGACGGUAAUGGGUAAAGAAGCACCGGCUAACUACGUG
RNAcentral lists this ribosomal RNA (468 nucleotides) under uncultured bacterium. RNAcentral describes it as "partial 16S ribosomal RNA". It matches the Rfam family "Bacterial small subunit ribosomal RNA", at positions 28 to 507 of the family's 1533-position model. The record is from RNAcentral.